UGCAUCUGCAGCUCAUGAGGAUGAGAACCUCCGGGGGCAGGGAGGUUCGACUCGAGCGAAGCGAGAGAACGUUGCGCCAGC
This 81-nucleotide small RNA is filed under the name Escherichia coli. RNAcentral describes it as "partial RtT sRNA". It matches the Rfam family "RtT RNA", at positions 1 to 77 of the family's 130-position model. Rfam says of the family: This family represents a bacterial cis-regulatory element known as RtT RNA. The record is from RNAcentral. Lineage: Bacteria; Pseudomonadati; Pseudomonadota; Gammaproteobacteria; Enterobacterales; Enterobacteriaceae.